Long non-coding RNA from Salvia miltiorrhiza (redroot sage), 521 nucleotides. RefSeq lists it as uncharacterized. The transcript has 2 exons. Lineage: Eukaryota; Viridiplantae; Streptophyta; Magnoliopsida; Lamiales; Lamiaceae. The record is from RefSeq and is a predicted model, not a curated record.
GAGUCUUCCAUCUUUUGAAGAUGAGAGAUGACGGGAGACACGAAUGGCGCUGCACGCGAAGCAUUCCUUACCGAUGAGAUCUUUGCUUUCGAUAUCACAUAAACAGUGCAGAAAUCCGGCGCCGAUUUUGAUACGCUGCUAGAAGCUGGAAAGAAGCAGAGAAGUUUCACUUGAUAAAGCCAUGGCGUGAUGAGCCAAGAACCAAGUUUUCGACGGCAGCAUACGCAGCAUAAUCUGAUAUGGCUCUUGCUAUGUCCGUCUCCUCCAACAGCACAUCAAAGCAGUUUAUCUGUUGCCAUCACAAUUUUUAUCAUAUUCUUAUUUCUUGCAAUUUCAAAACAUAUAUAGAUUAGUAAUUUAAAGUAUGAUCAAAACUUGUAUACUAGUAUAUCAGGAUUCACAAUAGGAUUUAUUAUUCACAUUUUGUAAUUUGUAUCUGCCAGAUACCACUCAUAUAUAUAUUAUUCAUAAUUCAUAAUUUUGAGGCAGGAAAGGGAGAAAGAAGGCGGUGUGAGGUUUUA